Acromyrmex echinatior (Panamanian leafcutter ant) is the source of this 1037-nucleotide long non-coding RNA. NCBI's taxonomy places the organism in Eukaryota, Metazoa, Arthropoda, Insecta, Hymenoptera, Formicidae. The record is from RefSeq and is a predicted model, not a curated record.
UAAAGAGGUAAGAGGGUCAUAAGUAGCGGUCGCAACCCAAGGAACACAUACGAGUCAACAAAAAAUCAAAAUAAUUUUAUUUUCAUUCUUAACGUCAAUAAACAGAUAAAUUUUGUGACGAAAAAUCACCGUGACGUCUACAUUUAAUGACGUCAAAAUAAAAUCAUUCUUUUUUCUAUUGACUUGGUGUGUUCCUUGAGAGGCUGUCGCUCCGAUAUUCUCCAUUCGUCAACCAUCCCGCGAUCCGCAUUGUCAGGAUUUAUCGCAAUUACACGUUACAAUUAUAGAUACAUUAUUCUCGGUGGUGUCUGGAAGGAACGUUCGUUGGCUCGUUAAAACGCACUUUAAAAGACGACGCUAUUGUCGCUGAGUCACGCUCUGCGUCGAAUGACGCAGACACUCGGUUGAGACGUCUGUCUCUCGUACGCAGAUACGCUAUUAACUUAUUCCGAAACAUAAUGGACGUUGGCUAGAGACCCUGGCAGGCGCGUUUUGGAAUUAUGCAUAGCGCGUCAAAAAUAUACGUGAUUCUCCGUUCCGGAUUGAUGCAACGCGAAUCAAGAGAAUCUUUCCAAACGCCAGAGGGAAUAUUUCUAAACACUUCUAAAUUUGAAAACUCAGUUAUAUCGAAAGAGACACGCCAGUUUUUCAGCAGCUGAAGUAAACGCGCCUUAGAAAUAUAAUUUUGCAGAGCUAACAAGAAACGUACUGCAAGACGUUGCAUGUUCGUCAAUGAAAAAUUCGCUAAUAAUCGGAAAAUUCGUAAAGUAUGAAUUUACUAGGAUCAAUUACGCUAAAAUGCAUCCGACGAAAGAUGUGCCAGCGUUUAAGUUUAUUUAUAUCCGAGUACGAUCACCUGGUAAAGUGGCAAUCGCCGGCAUUGCGUGGCCAUGACCAGACAACAAUUCGCGAUCGGUGUUCAACGCGUUGAUUAUUCCUGCAAUGACACAAAUUCGUAUAAAAUCGUUCCGCUUUGCAUUACUCAAAUAACGAAAAUAAUAAAUAAAUACAACUAAACAUGUUGUACAAUUUUUCAA